This 284-nucleotide ribosomal RNA is filed under the name uncultured Anaerolineaceae bacterium. RNAcentral describes it as "partial 16S ribosomal RNA". It matches the Rfam family "Bacterial small subunit ribosomal RNA", at positions 1085 to 1382 of the family's 1533-position model. Lineage: Bacteria; Bacillati; Chloroflexota; Anaerolineae; Anaerolineales; Anaerolineaceae. The record is from RNAcentral.
UCCGCUAACGAGCGCAACCCUCGCUGUGUGUUACAAGUGUCACACGGAACUGCCGGUCAUAAACCGGAGGAAGGUGGGAUGACGUCAAGUCAGCAUGGCCUUUAUAUCCUGGGCUACACACACGCUACAAUGGGAAGGGACAAUAGGUUGCGAAGCCGCGAGGCGGAGCCAAUCCAGCAAAACUUCCCUCAGUUCAGAUUGCAGGCUGCAACUCGCCUGCAUGAAGUUGGAGUUGCUAGUAACCGCAGGUCAGCAAUACUGCGGUGAAUACGUUCCCGGGCCUU